Molecule: ribosomal RNA, 459 nt
Filed under: Lagynochthonius sp. 82497.1
Lineage: Eukaryota; Metazoa; Arthropoda; Arachnida; Pseudoscorpiones; Chthoniidae
Description: bacterial SSU rRNA
Rfam family: Eukaryotic small subunit ribosomal RNA
Source: RNAcentral
AUCAGUUAUGAUUUCUUAGGAUGGUACUUUUUACCUGGAUUACUGGGGUAAUUUCUAAACCUAAUACUGGCACUGAACCCCCAAUCCCCCGGGAGGACGAGUGCUUUUAUUACACCAACACCCAACGGCCCCGGCCGUUGGACGUGGUGACUCUGGAUAACUUUUGGGGAACCCACCGGCUCCGUACCGGCGACGCAUCCUUCAAGUGUCUGCCUUAUCAACUUUCGAUGGUAGGUUAUAUGCCUACCAUGGUUGUUACGGGUAACGGGGAAUCAGGGUUCGAUUCCGGAGAGGGAGCCUGAGAAACGGCUACCACAUCCAAGGAAGGCAGCAGGCGCGCAAAUUACCCACUCCCGGAACGGGGAGGUAGUGACGAAAAAUAACAAUACGGGACUCUUACGAGUUCCCGUAAUUGGAAUGAGUACACUCUAAACCUUUUAACAAGGAUCAAUUGGAGGA